UACGUAGGGGGCAAGCGUUGUCCGGAUUUAUUGGGCGUAAAGAGCGUGUAGGCGGCCUGACAGGUCUGCUGUGAAAACUCGAGGCUCAACCUCGAGAUGUCGGCGGAAACCGUCUGGCUAGAGUCCGGAAGAGGAGAGUGGAAUUCCUGGUGUAGCGGUGAAAUGCGCAGAUAUCAGGAAGAACACCAAUGGCGAAAGCAGCUCUCUGGGACGGUACUGACGCUGAGACGCGAAAGCGUGGGGAGCAAACAGG
Molecule: ribosomal RNA, 253 nt
Filed under: uncultured bacterium
Lineage: Bacteria
Description: partial 16S ribosomal RNA
Rfam family: Bacterial small subunit ribosomal RNA
Source: RNAcentral